CCGCUGUCUAGUUUUAGCAAUUAUACCGCGAAACUGCGAAUGGCUCAUUAUAUAAGUUAUCGUUUAUUUGAUAAUACUUUACUACUUGGAUAACCGUGGUAAUUCUAGAGCUAAUACAUGCUAAAAAUCCCGACUUCGGAAGGGUUGUAUUUAUUAGAUUAAAAACCAAUGCCCCUCGGGGCUCUCUGGUGAAUCAUGAUAACUAGUCGAAUCGACAGGCCUUGUGCCGGCGAUGGCUCAUUCAAAUUUCUUCCCUAUCAACUUUCGAUGUUUGGGUCUUGUCCAAACAUGGUGGCAACGGGUAACGGAGGGUUAGGGCUCGACCCCGGAGAAGGAGCCUGAGAAACGGCUACUACAUCCAAGGAAGGCAGCAGGCGCGCAAAUUACCCAAUCCCGACACGGGGAGGUAGUGACAAUAAAUACUGAUACAGGGCUCUUUUGGGUCUUGUAAUCGGAAUGAGUACAAUUUAAAUCCCUUAACGAGGAACAAUUGGAGGGCAAGUCUGGUGCCAGCAGCCGCGGUAAUUCCAGCUCCAAUAGCGUAUAUUAAAGUUGUUGUGGUUAAAAAGCUCGUAGUUGAACCUUGGGCCUGGCUGGCCGGUCCGCCUCACCGCGUGCACUGGUCCGGCCGGGCCUUUCCCUCUGCGGAACCCCCAUGCCCUUCACUGGGUGUGGCGGGGAAACAGGACUUUUACUUUGAAAAAAUUAGAGUGCUCAGGGCAGGCCUAUGCUCCAAUACAUUAGCAUGGA
RNAcentral lists this ribosomal RNA (750 nucleotides) under Talaromyces sp. RNAcentral's name for it is "SSU rRNA". It matches the Rfam family "Eukaryotic small subunit ribosomal RNA", at positions 51 to 813 of the family's 1831-position model. Lineage: Eukaryota; Fungi; Ascomycota; Eurotiomycetes; Eurotiales; Trichocomaceae. The record is from RNAcentral.